AUUUAAAUAACUUAAAUUAAAGUUUAAUAAUGAAAAUAUUAAAAUGAUUUUUCUAAAUCUUUAAAUA
RNAcentral lists this transfer RNA (67 nucleotides) under Euurobracon breviterebrae. RNAcentral describes it as "tRNA-Phe". Lineage: Eukaryota; Metazoa; Arthropoda; Insecta; Hymenoptera; Braconidae. The record is from RNAcentral.